UAAUACGUAGGGUGCGAGCGUUAAUCGGAAUUACUGGGCGUAAAGCGUGCGCAGGCGGUUUUGUAAGACAGAUGUGAAAUCCCCGGGCUUAACCUGGGAACUGCAUUUGUGACUGCAAGGCUAGAGUACGGCAGAGGGGGGUAGAAUUCCACGUGUAGCAGUGAAAUGCGUAGAUAUGUGGAGGAAUACCGAUGGCGAAGGCAGCCCCCCUGGGUCGAUACUGACGCUCAUGCACGAAAGCGUGGGGAGCAAACAGGAUUAGAUACCCUGGUAGUCCACGCCCUAAACGAUGUCAACUAGGUGUUGGGGGAGGAGACUUCCUUAGUACCGCAGCUAACGCGUGAAGUUGACCGCCUGGGGAGUACGGUCGCAAGAUUAAAACUCAAAGGAAUUGACGGGGACCCGCACAAGCGGUGGAUUAUGUGGAUUAAUUCGAUGCAACGCGAAAAACCUUACCUACCCUUGACAUGCCAGGAACUUGCCAGAGAUGGCUUGGUGCCCGAAAGGGAACCUGGACAC
RNAcentral lists this ribosomal RNA (519 nucleotides) under uncultured Georgfuchsia sp. RNAcentral describes it as "bacterial SSU rRNA". It matches the Rfam family "Bacterial small subunit ribosomal RNA", at positions 521 to 1035 of the family's 1533-position model. Lineage: Bacteria; Pseudomonadati; Pseudomonadota; Betaproteobacteria; Nitrosomonadales; Sterolibacteriaceae. The record is from RNAcentral.